AAAAGGGCAAAUUUGUUUCAGUUUCUUUUGGUAAUAUUAUCAUCACACAUUCACACCCGAUACAUUUUCCUUACAAAAGUGAUAUAUAGUGUUCGUCAUAAAAAGUCUGAUCGAUACAACAUUCCGUUGAUAUACACAUUUAGCACAAUAAAACAUAAUAACUAGUUGAAGUGGCAAUAACAAGACUACAUCAAAAGAAGGAAAGGCAAUGCAAAAUGAAUUAGAACCAGCCCAGCAAUAUAUUCAGAUUUCUUGAGUCUAUAUCAUAUCUAUAUGCUGCAUAACCUCUGCUACCCAUCUCUGGAAGCUGCACAAGGAAAAACAAUCAUAAGGCAGAGCAUGAAAUGAAAAAUUAAUGGUUGUUACACAACAAUACAACAUAGAUGUAUGAAUAUUACUACUUACCUAAGAAGACGCUUAGGUUAGCAAAUUGGAUGCGAGAGAAUAGAUCAUUAUAUAACACAAAUUCCUAAAUUGCUUCCUUUCUUCUUCUUCUUCCCCUCCUCCAUGUAGGGUGGGAGGGCUAUGUUGCAACUGCCCACAGUUGGUUUCAUAGAGUUUCUUAUGUUUACAAAAUAUUGUGAAAUCCUAGUAAGCUUGUUAAUUGUAUCGAUCAAUUCAGUGACAAAAACAAGUGAUUUUGAUUUGAACAAUUGGUUUCGUUUACUCUCUACUCCGAUGCAAGUGUUCUGCAAAACAUGGUAUACCAUCAUAGCUGACUAUAACCAGUACAGUCCUCUACAACAACAUAUAUAUUGUUUCAUUAUGGUAAUGUUCAUCAACACAAAACUGGUAUGUCAUGUUAUUUGGAUGAAGACAGUGGGAAUGUGCAAAAACAAUGCAAUGAAGAAGAUCAUAAUGCUUCUAUUAGCACAUAAUGUCAAACAGAUGUUAAUCAGCAGUUAACUACUUAACUAAUCAAGUUUGAAAAACCAACACAUAUCAAAGAUGUCACAAGGCAGCUUUGAAGAUGGUGGUGGUGCUGAUGGUGAUGGUGGUGGUGUCGUGGAAAGUAUGAGGUGGUGGAGGGUGUCAGUGGAAGGUGUGGUAGUGCUGAUGGUGCUGGUGGAAUGAGCAUUGCAGGUGGCAGGGGCAGUGGUGGUGCAGGCAAUCUUACCAACCACCAACCGGUUGGUGGUAGCCACGAGAUCUUCAUCAAAGUUUUGAAUGAUGGCUGUGCGUAAUCAAACUGUAUAAAAACAUCCAUAAAUUACUGACUUGAAACUGUUAAUUUCAUGGUUCAAGUUCUGUCUCAGAAUGAAUCUAUUUUACUUGCAUGUAUUAAAAAACAUAAGUACUAAAGUUUUAGACAUAGUUACCAUCAAAAUAUUCCAAUCAGCAAAUUGGUUUUGAGAGAAUAGAUCAUUAUAACAGCACAAAUUCCUGUCAAAACCAUGUAAAAAGCACCAAGUUUGUAGCCUUCUACUCCAAGGCUACACUCUUGGAACAUGAUGUAAUCCAAAGGAUGGAGAGAAGAAGAAGAAGAAAAAUGAAAGAAGCAAAGAAAGAGAGAGCAGAAGUAACACUUCAGUUUGGAGUUUGGAGUAGUCUUAUCUAUUCUUCAUCCAAGCUACACCAUAUAUAAUCUCCAACCUGAUUUCUUUGAUUCUUUCUUUUCAUGUGAGUCUUUGUUAUGUUCUUUUCAUGUGAGUAUCUCUGCAAAUCUGAACUUAGCUACAUCACCA
RNAcentral lists this long non-coding RNA (1685 nucleotides) under Aquilegia coerulea. RNAcentral's name for it is "long non-coding RNA (ACOE_LNC001686)". The record is from RNAcentral. Lineage: Eukaryota; Viridiplantae; Streptophyta; Magnoliopsida; Ranunculales; Ranunculaceae.